GUCUCCAAAACCCUAAUAUGCUUAUAAAACAAAAAUCAUUUUUUAUUCUCCAUUUUCCAGCCUCAGCCGCCGUUCGCUCUGUGAACUUUCUUCUUCAUCGCUCUCUCUCCGCCAUUCAACCACUUUCCUCCGUUCGACUGCUCUGCUUCAGCCGUUUGACCGCUCUGCUUCAGCCGUUCGACCGCUCUCGCUCUGUUCGACCGCGUCGUUCCCUCUUCCUCCAUUUGCUUUGCAGAGAUACAUGAAGCUUUUUCGACCACCUACGCCUUCUUGGAUUAACACCACCGUGUCGGUCCCUCAAUAUUGAUUGUGGUCCUUAUUUUCUCCUACGAUGAAAUUGGGUAAAUUCCAUUUAUUCGGAUGAAGAUCUGAAAGGAACUGCAGUUUCUGAUCAUGUGACCUAUCUACUAAAAUUAGCAGAGAGCACAUUGUAAUAGAGAUUGAUCUAAUGAUAUCUGAAAUCAACCUGUCAAAGCAAUGACUUACCUUUGAAGCUGACACUAUUAUGAACUUUCUUUACUUUCCCUAUUGAGUACGGAUAAUCACCUUCACAUCUUCCGAAAUUCGUAAGAGUUACUAUAAUAGUUUAUAGUUUCAGUAAUUAAAGGAUAAAUAAGACUAUGGCUUUGACUUUGUAUUAGUGCCAAAGAAAACUCAGACUUUUCGCUACUCUUGUUUCUACCUCUUAGAAAAACCACUUAUAGUGAAAAUAUUGCUAUAAGGUACACACCUCUCUUUUCUAUGUAUUUCUAACUGUGAUUUCGCAAUAUUAAAAUGCAAGUGCAUUAAGUUUGCUCCUUUGAGCUUGGAGAUGGAACAUCUGGCACAUUGUCUAUAUAAAGAAAUUGUUACAUAUCUCUAAGCCUAGACUGCAAUGAAUGGUACUGUAUAUCUAACUCACAUAUAUGAAACUUUGAGGUUUGUGACCAACAACUACAGCGGGUUUAAGUUUUUACAACACUGACAUGUUCAUUCUAUCAUGUUUAACCUUGCAUAUGUUUAACCUUGCAUUUAACCUUACCAUUCUAUUUAUAUAAGUUUUACUUUCAUAAUGGGAUUUAUGAUCCUCUGAAGCAAUAUUCUCGCAAGUGAGUUUCUUACAUUUGGUUAGCUUUGGAUACUUAAGACUAAACAGUCAUUUUUCUUUUUCAAGGGUGCAGAUUGAUGACAACUUGUCUGAUUUGGGCAUGAAGAACAAAAAGAGACCUUUGAAGUAUUUGCUAUGUUUUGGUAAUGAAGAUUUGGAUUCAAAAUUUAAAAAUCAAAUACACAGUUUCAAAAAUUUGGAAGUAUCGCGAGUUUGUUAUAUAUAUCAAAUUGUUUUUGUUGAUUGAAAAUUGAUACCGUGAAUUAGGGUUCUAUUCUGGUUGUUAUUGAUACUGUGCAAUUUUAUUAACUAAAUUUCGUGUUUGUUAGGAGCGUGCAUCUGAUAGAUUUGAUGCGAGGUAUCGUCGAUCUCUGUUUCAUGAUAACUUUGAUUCUGAAGAAAGUGGGAGAGGUACACCGAGGGCAAGUCGCAGUAGCAGAUUGCCUGUAGGUGUGAGGCUUGCGUGAGAAAGAAUACUUCAGAGGUUGAGAGGAGAGCAUGUAGAUAGAAACAGGUUUGAUUUAGAUUUUAAUUUAACUUGGUGUUCAAUUUUUUUUCUCUAUUCAUUUUCUUGAAAUGGGUAGGUUGAAGAAUCCACCUGUUAGUGUUAAGGCUGAGUUUGGUUCUGUUAUGGAUGUGUUGAAGGAUUUUCUGUUGAGUAAGACACCGAAGUAGUUGUAGUACAAGGUUGGUUAGUUUGAAGGUGUUGUCGGUUGUCAUUAUACUGUCACUUUCUAGUUUGAAGGUGCUGCUUUUAUUUCUUCCCUUUUUUAUUCCUACAAAAUAGCACUAGCUAGCUUCAAAUUUAGAGUAUCUACUAAUCAUAAUUAACAUUAAUAUAAGUAUUUAGUAAUUAAUUAAUUGAUACCAGUACUAAUAUAUACUCCCUUAUCUCUGUUAUUAUUAUUACUUUCUAAUGAUUCAACUUUUUUCUCUGGUUUCAGAAUUAUGAAAGUUUCUCUCUAGAAAAGGAAACGCUUGAGCUUUGCAAUCAAACCUUAACCUUGUUCAAGCUCAAAAUUCGGAUCUUCAGCAUAAGCUUUUCAAA
Molecule: long non-coding RNA, 2135 nt
Organism: Vicia villosa (hairy vetch)
Lineage: Eukaryota; Viridiplantae; Streptophyta; Magnoliopsida; Fabales; Fabaceae
Exons: 3
Source: RefSeq, a predicted model, not a curated record